This 547-nucleotide ribosomal RNA is filed under the name uncultured bacterium. Its description in RNAcentral is "bacterial LSU rRNA". It matches the Rfam family "Bacterial large subunit ribosomal RNA", at positions 636 to 1181 of the family's 2925-position model. The record is from RNAcentral.
AGUGGCGAGGUUAAGGGAGUAACACCCGAAGCCGUAGCGAAAGCGAGUCUUAAUAGGGCGUAUAGUCGCUGGAAUUAGGCCCGAACCGAGUGAGCUACCCAUGGGCAGGGUGAAGCGAGUCUAAACACUCGUGGAGGCCCGAACUCACUAACGUUGCAAAGUUAGGAGAUGACCUGUGGGUAGAGGUGAUAUGCCAAUCGAACUCGGAGAUAGCUGGUUCUCCCCGAAAUAGCUUUAGGGCUAGCGUCGUGCGUUUAGUACUGGAGGUACAGCACUGAAUGGGCUAAGGGGCUUACAGCUUACUGAACCCAAUCAAACUCGGAAUGCCAGUACUCCAUAGCACGGCAGUCGGACUCCGGGAGAUGAGUUUCGGGGUCGAAAGGGAAACAGCCCAGACCAUCGGCUAAGGUCCUUAAAUCUAUGCUAAGUGGGAAACGAGGUGAGGUUACUUAAACAACCAGGAGGUUGGCUUAGAAGCAGCCACCCUUUAAAAAAGUGCGUAACAGCUUACUGGUCUAGUGACUUCGCGCGGAAAACUUAACGGGGC